GACACAGCUCUGAAACAAGGGGUGACUCAAUUUGUGUUUCCAUCAAAAAGUUAGUCUUUUUCUACCUCUACAAUACAUCUCCCCCAUCUUUAUGAUAUCCGAUUGUAACCCAUACGAAAAUCCUCUUAUAUAAAGUUUAUCUUAACCGGAGGAACAUUCCAUCUCAAAUACUCAACGAUUCCUCUACCAGGCGCAGCUUAUAACAUCUAUCGAAAAUUUCUGCCUGUGAUGCUCCAGUUACUCGAACCGGCGUUCGCAACUCACCUUUCGACUCUCUCCGCCUUGGUCGUACAAAAAAAUGAUGAAUUCAUAGGAAUCAUGCUUCUCUUCCUUGAUGAAAAGGCAAAGCCAUCUCUGAUCUAUCAUGACUUAUCUAUUACAACUGGCUUUAAGGGAUAAGAUUGUUAGGAUUGAAUUGUCGCCUCAUCCGUUUCCUUAAAAAGAGAUAGAUAUACAUAUACUGUUUUGGAAAGGAAAGAGAUGGGUUCUAUAAUCAGUGGGAACAAAGUGAAAGAAGAAGAGAUGGAGGUGGUGAUGAACAAAACCAAAGAGAUCGUCUCCGAGUAACCAGUCAGGUCUUCUUACUCAUUGAAAGUUCCUAUCUUUUUACCUGAUCACCUAUCUGUGAUGCUCCCUUUAUAGAUUGUGUAUUAUUAUGUCUAUAUCUCUGAUGUCUUUGGUUGAUUAAAAGCUUCUUUUGCAGCAAAACUUACUGUGGUUAUAGUCACGCUUUAAAGUGCUUGAGCUCGAUAAGAAACUAAAAUCUCUGUCAUUAAACCUGGAUUAUAUGGUCCCAUGCUAACUUUAAAGUUUUGGCAGGUGAUGGAGGUUCCGUGUUGAGACGAUAACGCAACUUUUGUUGUCUUCAACAAUGAGAUUACAAACUAACCAAGGAAAAUGCAUAUGACCUUUCUCUACAAGAGAUUCCUAGCGGUGUUUCCCAGGAUUUACCAAAACGAUUCCAGGAGCUUGAGGGCAAGGACUUUUGUCUUCCAUAUACAUGUCACUCCGUACAAUCACAACCAGCAGAAUCAUACCUUCACCGUCUACGCAAUCAGAGAAAAUGUCUUCUUUGGCACUCAGCCACAUGUAUGGUAAUCUAAGUUUCAAAGUACUCCAGAUAUUUGUUUUCCCACUGACUUGCAUCAACCAAGCUACAAGAUGUGACAUCGGAGCUGGACUGCUUACAACAACUUGUAGCCACCAAGCUAAUGCGUCAAAAAAAAAGAAUGGGGAUGAUGAAUCAAAUCCAGCGGGCUUGGAAGAGGAAGGAAACAGCUGCUCCGUUUGUGAUUCUUGCAGAUUACUUUCCCGUCACUCUACUUUCAGUUAUUGUCAUUUAAAAAAACUAAGUAGGGGUUAUUGGUUGUUGUAUUUUAAUGGAUUUGAAAAUCCGAACUAAAUCCAGUGUUAUUGGUUGUAUGAUUUUCAAAUCUGUAUUAAAAUCAUGUGUUAGUGGUUUAAUGAUUUAUAAAUUCUGUAUCAAA
This is a long non-coding RNA of Brassica napus (rape), 1487 nucleotides long. RefSeq lists it as uncharacterized. The record is from RefSeq and is a predicted model, not a curated record. Lineage: Eukaryota; Viridiplantae; Streptophyta; Magnoliopsida; Brassicales; Brassicaceae. The transcript is spliced from 3 exons.